Molecule: ribosomal RNA, 464 nt
Filed under: uncultured bacterium
Lineage: Bacteria
Description: bacterial SSU rRNA
Rfam family: Bacterial small subunit ribosomal RNA
Source: RNAcentral
UCCAGACUCCUACGGGAGGCAGCAGUGAGGAAUAUUGGUCAAUGGCCGCAGGGCUGAACCAGCCAAGUCGCGUGAGGGAUGACGGUCCUAUGGAUUGUAAACCUCUUUUGUCAGGGAGCAAAGGGCGCCACGUGUGGCGUUUUGCGAGUACCUGAAGAAAAAGCAUCGGCUAACUCCGUGCCAGCAGCCGCGGUAAUACGGAGGAUGCGAGCGUUAUCCGGAUUUAUUGGGUUUAAAGGGUGCGCAGGCGGAGGUGCAAGUCAGCGGUCAAAUUGCGGGGCUCAACCCCGUACUGCCGUUGAAACUGGCAGUCUCGAGUUGGAGAGAAGUAUGCGGAAUGCGCGGUGUAGCGGUGAAAUGCAUAGAUAUCGCGCAGAACUCCGAUUGCGAAGGCAGCAUGCCGGCUCCACACUGACGCUGAGGCACGAAAGCGUGGGUAUCGAACAGGAUUAGAUACCCGUGUA